This 506-nucleotide ribosomal RNA is filed under the name uncultured delta proteobacterium. RNAcentral's name for it is "bacterial SSU rRNA". It matches the Rfam family "Bacterial small subunit ribosomal RNA", at positions 36 to 523 of the family's 1533-position model. The record is from RNAcentral. Lineage: Bacteria; Deltaproteobacteria.
CUGGCGGCGUGCCUAACACAUGCAAGUCGACGCGAAAAGCAGUAAUGCUGAGUAGAGUGGCGCACGGGUGAGUAACACGUAACUGACAUGUCUUGGAGAGCAGGAUAACCACUCGAAAGGGUGGCUAAUACUGCAUAAGCCCACGUCCUUGGGGGAUGAGGGAAAAGGGUCGGGACCUUUCGAGGCCGAUCGCUUCUUGAGUGGGUUGCGGCCCAUCAGCUAGUUGGCGAGGUAACGGCUCACCAAGGCUAAGACGGGUAGCUGGUCUGAGAGGAUGAUCAGCCACACUGGAACUGAGACACGGUCCAGACUCCUACGGGAGGCAGCAGUGGGGAAUCUUGCGCAAUGGGAGCAAUCCUGACGCAGCAACGCCGCGUGGGUGAUGAAGGUCUUCGGAUCGUAAAGCCCUGUCGGAGGGGAAGAUGCUUUCUGUCGCUAACAUCGGCAGGAGGUGACGGUACCCUCAAAGGAAGCACCGGCUAACUCUGUGCCAGCAGCCGCGGUAA